This 206-nucleotide ribosomal RNA is filed under the name uncultured bacterium. RNAcentral describes it as "partial 16S ribosomal RNA". It matches the Rfam family "Bacterial small subunit ribosomal RNA", at positions 568 to 773 of the family's 1533-position model. The record is from RNAcentral.
CACGUAGGCGGCCUGUUAAGUGUGGGGUGAAAUCCCACGGCUCACCCGUGGAACUGCUUCGCAUACUGGCAAGCUCGAGGACGGUAGGGGAGAGCGGAACUCUUGGUGGAGCGGUGAAAUGCGUAGAUAUCAAGAGGAACACCGAUGGCGAAGGCAGCUCUCUGGUCCGUUUCUGACGCUGAGGUGCGAAAGCUAGGGUAGCAACG